Molecule: ribosomal RNA, 596 nt
Filed under: uncultured bacterium
Lineage: Bacteria
Description: bacterial SSU rRNA
Rfam family: Bacterial small subunit ribosomal RNA
Source: RNAcentral
CCUACGGGAGGCAGCAGUGGGGAAUAUUGGACAAUGGGCGAAAGCCUGAUCCAGCAAUGCCGCGUGAGUGAUGAAGGCCUUAGGGUUGUAAAGCUCUUUUACCCGGGAAGAUAAUGACUGUACCGGGAGAAUAAGCCCCGGCUAACUCCGUGCCAGCAGCCGCGGUAAUACGGAGGGGGCUAGCGUUAUUCGGAAUUACUGGGCGUAAAGCGUACGUAGGCGGUGGUUCAAGUCAGAGGUGAAAGCCCGGAGCUCAACUCCGGAACUGCCUUUGAAACUAGAUCGCUAGAACAUCGGAGAGGUAAGUGGAAUUCCGAGUGUAGAGGUGAAAUUCGUAGAUAUUCGGAAGAACACCAGUGGCGAAGGCGGCUUACUGGACGAUUGUUGACGCUGAGGUACGAAAGCGUGGGGAGCAAACAGGAUUAGAUACCCUGGUAGUCCACGCCGUAAACGAUGAUAACUAGCUGUUGGGCCUCAUAGAGGCUCAGUGGCGCAGCUAACGCAUUAAGUUAUCCGCCUGGGGAGUACGGUGCAAGNUUAAAAACUCAAAGAUAGUAGGACCGUGNGAGAGCGACGACGACGACGACGGAGGAGAG